Molecule: non-coding RNA, 921 nt
Organism: Phalacrocorax carbo (great cormorant)
Lineage: Eukaryota; Metazoa; Chordata; Aves; Suliformes; Phalacrocoracidae
Source: RefSeq, a predicted model, not a curated record
UCCGCCCCACCGAGCUGGGCCUCCGGGACAAUUUUUUGCAGGCAGAGAAUUCCCCAUCACCACCCUACGAGGUCCUAGGGCCGGGCCAAGCGCCUUCCGGCCGGGCGUCACCGCUCAGCCGGCUCCUCCAUAGUACCCGUCAGCCGUUGGGCACGCUUGUCCCCCGUCUGGGAAGCUAGUAGAAAAGGACGAGCACAGAAAAAUUUUGAUAGGGAUUGGGAAGAUAUUGAUGGAAGUGGAAGGUUUGUAGGAUGAUUGUGGUAACUCUUGGCCGGUGGUGGCUGCUGCUCGCCGUCCCGUGGCCUGCCUGCAUGAGUAGUGGUGUCUGGAGGUCUUUACGGCCCUGGUAUUUUUAGAAGUGCUCCUGAGAGGAUAGUGGAAGUCAGUCCUGUUCUUUUGCUUCACAAGAGCUCUUAUCGAUGCCUAUGCCCAGAGCCUUCCACAAAUGAGAUGAGACAUUUUACUUGUCUGUGAAGCCUGGAGUUAAAGGACUGAGCACUGAACAUCUGGAUACACUUUAUCUCGGGAGCUGGGAAACUCUUCUCAAAAUUCCGCCAUGGCACAUCCCCGCAGGCCCUGCUGUUCAAGUGUUUGACAUUGCUGCAGCAAAGAUGGCUAAUCUUGCUAAAUGUGAAAUGCCGCAUUUCUUGAAUUCGCCGAUACCUGUGACUCUCGGUGUCAUUCAACGGAAGGGGCUGAGUGAUAAAAGCUGUCAGUCUGACGGCCGUCCACCAGCACUACACAAGAGGUGUCAGCAAAGGUAUUGGAUGUUGGGACAUCAUCACAGAACUGACCUAACCUGAGAGGACAAGGUUUCAACUCAGAUGACUCUCAAUUUAUUAUGUCAGGUGCUUAAAGACCCACCAAACCUGACAUCUUUUAAGGUUCGUAUUUUGCAAAGUCUAUUUAUCUCUCUGUAUU